RNAcentral lists this ribosomal RNA (276 nucleotides) under uncultured prokaryote. RNAcentral describes it as "partial 16S ribosomal RNA". It matches the Rfam family "Bacterial small subunit ribosomal RNA", at positions 524 to 798 of the family's 1533-position model. The record is from RNAcentral.
AACGUAGGAGGCGAGCGUUAUCCGGAUUUACUGGGUGUAAAGCGCGUGUAGGCGGUCCUGCAAGUGGCGCGUGAAAGCGCCCGGCUCAACCGGGCGAGGACGUGACCGAACUGCGGGGCUAGAGGCAGGUAGAGGCGUGUGGAAUUCCGGGUGUAGUGGUGAAAUGCGUAGAGAUCCGGAGGAACACCAGUGGCGAAGGCGACACGCUGGGCCUGACCUGACGCUGAGAGGCGAAAGCAUGGGGAGCGAACGGGAUUAGAUACCCCCGUAGUCCCU